AGUAAACUGCGUUAGGAAAGAGUAUAAAACAUAAAUGUGAUCUAUUCCCACUAGGAUGUUUAAACAUUUGAACAGUAAGGUAUGAACAAAGGGCCACGUGGUGGAAGCUGCUCGGGCUGAGAGUGGGGGUGGGGGAAUUGAUAAGGGCCUGGCAAUAUCUGUUUGAGUUUUUUAAACCUACCAAUAAUAUUAAGACAAAUGUAAAGGAAAGAUAUAACCGGCUUAGGCGACGUCCGGGAAAGAAUGUGAACCCUGUAGUACUCAGCCAAUGAGAAACCAGGGGAGGGACUUGCGUACUAGGAGAUAAAUUAUUGGCGCCAAACUCCCCAGGUGUGCCUGCCCACCAGACACCCGAUCUUGCAAGACCGUUAUUAAAGCCUCGCUCCGCUGUUCUCUUGGUCUCCGUGUCCACUUAUUGAAUUUGGACCAGUGAGUGUGUUUCUCACAAUUUGGGGGCUCGUCUGGGAUCCUCUUGCCUGUGCGAGGUGGGGGCCCAAGCGGAGUGGGAAGACGCGUCCCGCCCGGCUUUGGGUGGCCCGCUGUGUCUGGGCAUCUCACCUUCGCAUGGAAGCCGAGGGGAGACCCGAGACUGUUGUGCGGAGACAGCGUGACCGACGCAGGGGAGAAAACACAGGCACCGCAGCAACCAGGCAACCUUGUGCACGAGCCAAGGUGGGAAAAUUGGGCUCUGAAAGGACUCCUCACCCAGACUCGCCCCGCUUGAGUUCUUUGGUCACUGCUUCUUCAGUCACUGCUUCCAGCCUAGAGACCUGGUGUUAGUAAAAUCCUGGAAAGAAGAUCGACUCCAGCCCAGCUGGGAAGGCCCCUACCAAGUGCUCCUGAUCACGGCGACUGCAGUGAAGACAGCUGAAAAGGGCAAGUCACAGGAAGCCCUAGAAUGAGAAGGAACUCCUGGUUAUCCUGUCAAACUGUUUAUUUCACUGUCUACUUCCAAAAAGGAUUGAGAAGAAUGACCAACAAUUACACAGAAUUAAACUGUUUAUUCACAGAUGACAAGGAAAUACAAUGAAGUGCUAAAAA
Manis pentadactyla (Chinese pangolin) is the source of this 1041-nucleotide long non-coding RNA. RefSeq lists it as uncharacterized. The record is from RefSeq and is a predicted model, not a curated record. The transcript has 4 exons. NCBI's taxonomy places the organism in Eukaryota, Metazoa, Chordata, Mammalia, Pholidota, Manidae.